GAUGAACGCUGGCGGCGUGCCUAAUACAUGCAAGUCGAGCGAACAGACGCGGAGCUUGCUCCUCUGACGUUAGCGGCGGACGGGUGAGUAACACGUGUAAAACCUCCCUAUAAGACUGGGAUAACCUCGGGAAACCGGAGCUAAUACCGGAUAAUAUACUGAACCGCAUGGUUCAAUAGAGAAAUACGGUUUUGCUGUCACUUAUAGAUGGAUCCGCGCCGCAUUAGCUAGUUGGGAAGGUAACGGCUUACCAAGGCAACCAUGCGUAGCCGACCUGAUAGGGUGAUCGGCCACACUGGAACUGAGACACGGUCCAGACUCCUACGGGAGGCAGCAGUAGGGAAUCUUCCGCAAUGGGCGAAAGCCUGACGGAGCAACGCCGCGUGAGUGAUGAAGGUCUUCGGAUCGUAAAACUCUGUUAUUAGGGAAGAACAAAUGUGUAAGUAACUAUGCACGUCUUGACGGUACCGAAUCAGAAAGCCACGGCUAACUACGUG
This 497-nucleotide ribosomal RNA is filed under the name uncultured bacterium. RNAcentral describes it as "partial 16S ribosomal RNA". It matches the Rfam family "Bacterial small subunit ribosomal RNA", at positions 28 to 507 of the family's 1533-position model. The record is from RNAcentral.